This 1034-nucleotide ribosomal RNA is filed under the name bacterium enrichment culture clone aHCH7_H6. RNAcentral's name for it is "bacterial SSU rRNA". It matches the Rfam family "Bacterial small subunit ribosomal RNA", at positions 48 to 1097 of the family's 1533-position model. The record is from RNAcentral.
GCUACACAUGCAGUCGAACGGGGAUACGUUUUCGGAUGUAUUCUAGUGGCGCACGGGUGAGUAACGCGUGAGCGACCUGACCCAAAGAGGGGGAUAACAUCGAGAAAUCGAUGCUAAUACCGCAUAAGACCACGGUAUCGCAUGGUACAGAGGUCAAAGGAGCAAUCCGCUUUGGGAGGGGCUCGCGUCCCAUUAGAUAGUAGGCGGGGUAACGGCCCACCUAGUCAACGAUGGGUAGCCGAGCUGAGAGGCUGAUCGGCCACACUGGAACUGAGACACGGUCCAGACUCCUACGGGAGGCAGCAGUGGGGAAUAUUGGGCAAUGGGCGAAAGCCUGACCCAGCAACGCCGCGUGAGGGAAGAAGGUUUUCGGAUUGUAAACCUCUGUCGCAGAUGACGAAGGAAGUGACGGUAAUCUGUGAGGAAGCCCCGGCUAACUACGUGCCAGCAGCCGCGGUAAUACGUAGGGGGCGAGCGUUGUCCGGAAUUACUGGGCGUAAAGGGUGCGUAGGCGGUUGAUUAAGUUGGAUGUGAAAUACCCGGGCUUAACCUGGGGGGUGCAUUCAAAACUGGUCAACUAGAGUUCAGGGGAGGGAAGCGGAAUUCCUAGUGUAGCGGUGAAAUGCGUAGAUAUUAGGAGGAACACCAGUGGCGAAGGCGGCUUUCUGGACUGACACUGACGCUGAGGCACGAAAGCGUGGGGAGCAAACAGGAUUAGAUACCCUGGUAGUCCACGCGGUAAACGAUGAAUACUAGGUGUAGGGGGUAUCAACUCCCUCUGUGCCGCAGCAAACGCAAUAAGUAUUCCGCCUGGGGAGUACGGCCGCAAGGUUGAAACUCAAAGGAAUUGACGGGGGCCCGCACAAGCAGCGGAGCAUGUGGUUUAAUUCGAUGCAACGCGAAGAACCUUACCAAGGCUUGACAUCCUGCUAAAGCCAUAGAGAUAUGGUGUCCCUUCGGGGGAGCAGAGACAGGUGGUGCAUGGUUGUCGUCAGCUCGUGUCGUGAGAUGUUGGGUUUAGUCCCGCAACGAGC